This 469-nucleotide ribosomal RNA is filed under the name uncultured bacterium. Its description in RNAcentral is "bacterial SSU rRNA". It matches the Rfam family "Bacterial small subunit ribosomal RNA", at positions 329 to 795 of the family's 1533-position model. The record is from RNAcentral.
UUCCAGACUCCUACGGGAGGCAGCAGUGAGGAAUAUUGGUCAAUGGGCUUACGCCUGAACCAGCCAAGUCGCGUGAGGGAAGACUGCCCUAUGGGUUGUAAACCUCUUUUGUCAGGGAGCAACGCCGGCUACGUGUAGCCGGACUGAGAGUACCUGAAGAAAAAGCAUCGGCUAACUCCGUGCCAGCAGCCGCGGUAAUACGGAGGAUGCGAGCGUUAUCCGGAUUUAUUGGGUGUAAAGGGUGCGUAGGCGGUAAUACAGGUCUGUGGUAUAAGCCCGAAGCUUAACUUCGGUUCGCCACAGAAACCGUAUAACUAGAGUAUGGUAGAGGCAAGUGGAAUUUCUAGUGUAGCGGUAAAAUGCGUAGAUAUUAGAAGGAACACCAGUGGCGAAGGCGACUUGCUGGGCCAAAACUGACGCUGAGGCACGAAAGCGUGGGGAGCGAAUAGGAUUAGAUACCCGAGUACUG